UACCAGUUCCGGUUCCAUUACUUUCUUACAAGAGACAUGUCACACGACUUGGGUAAGCAAGGAUCGACCAAAUUGACUCUUUAAAACACAAAAGGGAGAGGGAAUUCAAUUCAAAGUUCAACAGACUCAGAGAAACAAAUACCUAAAACCCAGACCUAAUUUAGAACCCAAAUCACCAAUUUUUCAUCUUUUUCCUUUUAAAAUCAAAUUCUUAACAAGAUUACACCGGUUCUAGUUUUGCUUUGAAGGAAUAAUUCAAUCGAGUUCGACAAGCUAGAGUUGGUUUACCGCAGAAAGAUCGAGGGGAGAGUUUUGGGGGUUCAAUUCGAAAAGAUUGAUCGAUAUAUAUCAGAAAUCUGUUUUUCUUGAACCCUGAGUUGAUAUUGAAUAAUAAUGGAGGCAGCUUCACCAAACUCUAGGAGUAAAGAUAGGAUUAGUGAUCUUCCUGAUGAAAUUCUUCUCAAGAUCUUGUCGCAUCUCGACAUAUGGGAAGUCGUGAGAACUGCAGAGGUAUCAAGAAGAUGGAGGUACGCAUGGAAAUCAGUUCCUAAAGUGAAUAUUACUUCAUCUACAUGGAAUAGAUACCCCGGAAAAGAAAAGUUCCUUGCAUUUUUGAAUUUUGUUGAUAGAUUGCUUAUAUGUAGAGACAACACAAGCAUCCAUCGCUUUAGUGUAGAUGUUCCAAAUUAUUAUAAGGCAACAGAUUCGAUGAGGGAAUCGAUUUAUACUUGGAUAUAUGCACUAUUGCAACGUAAUAUUCAAGAAAUUUUUCUUCAACUAAAUAAUGCGAGGUCGUUAGAUUUUGAUUUUCCCAAGGAGCUUUUUCGUAGUAAAUCCCUGAAAAGAUUGGAGUUGGUAAUGACGAAUAAGGCGUUGACUUGGAUUUAUUUUCCAGAAUCAAUGUGUUUACCUCAGUUGAAAUCAAUGUGUUUACCUCAGUUGAAAUCAUUGUGUCUUCGUUCGAUUACAAUAACUAAUAUAGAUUCAGCUAACGAGCUUUUCAAAAGCUGCCCGGGUCUUGAAACAUUAGUGUUAUCCAAUAUCGAUGUACAUGUUGAGGAUGAUGAGCAGAAUUUUGUGAUAAAUAAUGCUCUACUGCAACAUUUGGAAAUAAAGAACAUCUGGUAUCUGAAUUUCUAUGAAGACUCGAUCGUCAAUCCCAAACCAAUCCAGUUAGAUGUUCCAGGUCUUAAAAAAUUCAUUUAUGAAGAUUCCGUGGUACGAGAAAACUGUUGUUUUAUCAACGAUUCUUCUUCUUUAGUCACUGCUGAUAUCACAAUGAUACUUAAUGAUACAUAUGAUGAAAAUGGGCAUGGAGAUAAAGUUGAUGAAGAUCCGGUACUAUAUUCAAACGUUUCCGAGGCAAAAAAAGAGGAAUUUUCUAAACGCAUGCUGAAAUUUCUUAGAGCUCUUCAUUGCGUAAAAGAACUGAAAUUAUCCCCUGGUUUCUUUGAGGUUCUCUCAAGAUCUCCCAAUUUAUUGGACAAUCCUCCACUUCAGUUCGAUAAUCUAAGAUAUUUAAAGAUGGAACUGUGGCUCACAAGAGGAUGUUUGGAUGUCAUUACACACUUACUGAAGAUCUCUCCCAAUGUAGAAUCCAUUUAUAUAACAUCAAAGGAGUGCGGUUUAGAAAAUUUUAAUGGCGUCUGGGAACCAGAAUUGUCACAGCCGUGCAUGUUGUCUCAUCUAAAGUUUAUUGAGAUAGGAGCAAUCCAAGGAAAUGAUAAUGAACUCAAGCUUCUGGGGCUUUUAUUGAAGAAUGCCGUUGCUUUGGAGGAUGUGAAACUGUAUUUUCAUUCUAAUCCCUGCUCAACUGACCAGAGAAGAAGAGAGUCGGAGUUCAUCAAAAAGCUAAAAGCACUUCCAAGAGCUUCUUCAAGUAUCAAUACAAGUUUCGUUAACCCUUCUUACCAGUGAUACUAGAACUGGUAAACUACUGGAUGUUAAGUGCCAAGGAUGCUUCAACAUAGCUACUGUAUUCAGUUACUCACAAACUGUGAUUGUCUGUGGAAAUUGUCAAACUGUCUCGCGCCAACCAGCAGGAGGUAAAGCUAGACUUAGAGAGGGAUGCUUAUUCAGGUGAAAGGGAGAUUAAGUUGCUGAAAUUUGCUUUUGUGUUGCUCCGAAUGUUGUGGUGGUAGAAUUUUUUCUUCUUUCUUUGUUUAGCUUUAAUUCAAUGGAAGACGAGUAAAUUGAGAUAGAAUUUAGGGUUUUGGUUCUGACGUAAUUUUGUUGCCAAUCUAUCUUUUGACAUUUAUAGUUGUCAUUUUUUAUGUUAGUUUCAAUAUUGGGAUCUCUAGUAUCAAUCAUUCACUCAUGGCUCUACUUUGCUUUGUUCAAAACAUUUGGUUUAGUGCAUUUCAAUUGUUAGAACCAAGUAUCGAAGCUUCAAUAGAAUGAGUGAUGGAUUACAGCCC
RNA transcript from Papaver somniferum (opium poppy), 2417 nucleotides. It is a transcript of the gene named F-box/LRR-repeat protein At3g59200-like, with no coding region annotated. The transcript is spliced from 6 exons. The record is from RefSeq and is a predicted model, not a curated record. NCBI's taxonomy places the organism in Eukaryota, Viridiplantae, Streptophyta, Magnoliopsida, Ranunculales, Papaveraceae.